GUGGGGAAUUUUGGACAAUGGGCGAAAGCCUGAUCCAGCCAUGCCGCGUGUGUGAAGAAGGUCUUCGGAUUGUAAAGCACUUUAAGUUGGGAGGAAGGGUAGUAACCUAAUACGUUGCUACUUUGACGUUACCGACAGAAUAAGCACCGGCUAACUUCGUGCCAGCAGCCGCGGUAAUACGAAGGGUGCAAGCGUUAAUCGGAAUUACUGGGCGUAAAGCGCGCGUAGGUGGUUUUGUAAGUUGGAGGUGAAAUCCCCGGGCUCAACCUGGGAACUGCCUCCAAAACUGCAUGACUAGAGUACGGUAGAGGGUAGUGGAAUUUCCUGUGUAGCGGUGAAAUGCGUAGAUAUAGGAAGGAACACCAGUGGCGAAGGCGACUACCUGGACUGAUACUGACACUGAGGUGCGAAAGCGUGGGGAGCAAACAGGAUUAGAAACCCUUGUAGUCC
Molecule: ribosomal RNA, 450 nt
Filed under: uncultured bacterium
Lineage: Bacteria
Description: partial 16S ribosomal RNA
Rfam family: Bacterial small subunit ribosomal RNA
Source: RNAcentral